RNAcentral lists this unclassified non-coding RNA (363 nucleotides) under fungal sp. Its description in RNAcentral is "partial internal transcribed spacer region". The stretch from base 1 to 46 matches the Rfam family "Eukaryotic small subunit ribosomal RNA", at positions 1786 to 1831 of the family's 1831-position model. Lineage: Eukaryota; Fungi. The record is from RNAcentral.
AAGUCGUAACAAGGUUUCCGUAGGUGAACCUGCGGAAGGAUCAUUAACACGUAUCCAACGUAAAAACAACCCUGUGAACCUUCAAACGUGAUCGCCUAGCAAUCCCUGGUAAAUCAUUGUUGACCAGCUAUUGAGUCAGGGACCUCUAGGCUAUGGAUCAUCGGAUAAAGCGGCCUGGCAUCCUAGCAAUCUGUCAGUGGUUGCGCAAGGAUGGCGCAGUAAACGAUUGCUGGAGGCCCACACGGCCGGCGACCGGGCCUCUGUGCCUUGUGCACCUAAUGACCCCAAUGUUUCUGACCCGGUGCGCUGUAAGAACCGCACCACAAACUCGAACAACUGUUAACAAUGGAUAUCUUGGUUCUC